AGCAUGGUUGUUUGCCCGUUUGUGGAU
RNAcentral lists this ribosomal RNA (27 nucleotides) under Pseudo-nitzschia circumpora. RNAcentral describes it as "partial 5.8S ribosomal RNA". Lineage: Eukaryota; Bacillariophyta; Bacillariophyceae; Bacillariales; Bacillariaceae. The record is from RNAcentral.